GACGAACGCUGGCGGCGUGCUUAACACAUGCAAGUCGAACGAAGAGCGAUGGAUGCUUGCUUCUAUCAAUCUUAGUGGCGAACGGGUGAGUAACGCGUAAUCAACCUGCCCUUCAGUGGGGGACAACAGUUGGAAACGACUGCUAAUACCGCAUACGAUCUAACCUCGGCAUCGAUGAAAGAUGAAAGGUGGCCUCUAUGUAUAAGCUAUCACUGAAGGUGGUGGUUGAGUCUGAUUAGCUAGCUGGAGGGGUAAAGGGCCACCAAGGCGAUGAUCAGUAGCCGGUCUGAGAGGAGGAACGGGCACAUUGGGACUGAGACACGGCCCAGACUCCUAAGGGGGGCAGCAGUGGGGAAUCUUCCGCAAUGGAGGAAAGUCUGACGGAGCAACGCCACGUGAGUGAUGACGGCCUUCGGGUUGUAAAGCUCUGUUAAGCGGGACGAAAGGCCUUUUUGCGAAUAGUGAGAAGGAUUGACGGUACCGGAAGAGAAAGCCACGGCUAACUACGUG
This 510-nucleotide ribosomal RNA is filed under the name uncultured bacterium. RNAcentral describes it as "partial 16S ribosomal RNA". It matches the Rfam family "Bacterial small subunit ribosomal RNA", at positions 28 to 507 of the family's 1533-position model. The record is from RNAcentral.